ACACUCAUCGUCUAAUUGGUUAGGACAUCACACUUUCAAUGUUAAAACAAAGGUUCGAAUCCUUUUGAGUGAG
This 73-nucleotide transfer RNA is filed under the name Chrysochromulina sp. NIES-1333. Its description in RNAcentral is "tRNA-Glu". It matches the Rfam family "tRNA". Rfam says of the family: Transfer RNA (tRNA) molecules are approximately 80 nucleotides in length. Their secondary structure includes four short double-helical elements and three loops (D, anti-codon, and T loops). Lineage: Eukaryota; Haptophyta; Prymnesiales; Chrysochromulinaceae. The record is from RNAcentral.